GGAGAGGUGGCAGAGUCUGGUUGAAUGCGCACGACUCGAAAUCGUGUGUACCGAAAGGUACCGUGGGUUCGAAUCCCACCCUCUCCGCCA
Molecule: transfer RNA, 90 nt
Filed under: Candidatus Tritonobacter lacicola
Lineage: Bacteria; Pseudomonadati; Candidatus Auribacterota; Candidatus Tritonobacteria; Candidatus Tritonobacterales; Candidatus Tritonobacteraceae
Description: tRNA-Ser
Rfam family: tRNA
About the family: Transfer RNA (tRNA) molecules are approximately 80 nucleotides in length. Their secondary structure includes four short double-helical elements and three loops (D, anti-codon, and T loops).
Source: RNAcentral